ACAGAGCUCAAUGCAACAACUUAGACAAAGAAAAGAAUUAUAUGUGGAACUUAGUCAUUUGGUCAGGAUCCUUCUUCAAUAUACCCACUUUUCUCACUUUCUUCCUCUCUUUCUUGUUCUGGGGAAAUAUUAAAAAACAAAAAUAAAUAAAUUCCACAUAAACCCCACCUAAUAACUUGUUACGGGAUAUUCAAACAAACAGCUCUUCAUAAGAACCAUCCUUUAAUUUUCCUUUUGUUUCAAAUAGAUGUCUCAUAAGAUUCAAAGUUUGUCUGCAUGUACAUAAAAACGUAAAAUAUGCAAGUAAAAAUAAUAGGUUUGAAGGUUAUGUCCACAAAAGCAUAUAAGCAAAACAAUUGUAUCAUAUUACAAAUGAUAUAAACAUGUAGCCACUGCUAGAUAAUCGAUCUUUCCUAUCAGAGAAUUAAUCUCAUAAUUUUAGAGGAGUCCUAUAAUAAGGAUGAAGUAUAUGAAGCCAUAUUUAAGACAUUUAGAAUGAGGAUACAUGAACAUAUAUCUAUAACAGUUCAAGUGCAAGAAAAAUGUCAAUUAACAUAAAGCAAUCUACAUGAGAUUAUCAUCUCUUUUUUAUAAAUAGACCACAUUACCACAGUCUAAACAAAAGUUCCAAUUUUUUACAAUAAUAUGAAUAAAAGUGAAUCAAGAGAGAAAAUAUCUUAACAUUAAAAGAUUACCCAUGUUCUGUUGAGAUUAUUUAUGACUAAAUUCCAUAUGCUUUCUGAAGCAGACAUUCUUUGCUGAAAUCCAUUGAGCAAAUCUGAAGCACAAAAAUAUCUUGGAUGAUUAGUUUAAAUAAAUUAAACACUUUGAGACAUAGCUUCUUAAUUCAAAAACAACAUGAGAGACAUAAAUUUCUUCUAAUAGUUUAACUAUAUGAUAAGGGUAUCACUAUUUCUAUUUGGAUUUACGAAGCAGCAAUUACUUGGCAGCAAAAAUAGAUAACAUGGUAUUAUCUCUUUAUAUCUGAAGUUUUGAACAGCAGAGCUUAAAACUUUGUUUGGAAAAUUACAAGUUGUUCCAACAUGAGUUUCUGGUAAAGAAUUUUAACUCACACGUUCAGUUGUCUCUAUUCCCAUUAAGUUACAACAAUGUCUUGGCUGUCUCGCUGGAAAUAAGUUAAACAUACAUUAGAAAAGUUUUUAACUCAAAUAAUCCUGUCUCAAAUGUAAUUACCCUCUUUCCCGGCAUUUUAUGCUCCAAAUCCUAUCUUUUGAAGUCUUGCGAUUCCUUUGUAGCAGCAAAUCUCUAUAUUUUUUUUGUUUAUGAUCUCCUGAAAUAUAAGUAAGACAGAGGGAAUCGAAACAUAAAACAGAUUCGGAA
RNAcentral lists this long non-coding RNA (1341 nucleotides) under Nicotiana tabacum (common tobacco). Its description in RNAcentral is "long non-coding RNA (NTAB_LNC001543)". The record is from RNAcentral. Lineage: Eukaryota; Viridiplantae; Streptophyta; Magnoliopsida; Solanales; Solanaceae.